CCAUGUCAUGUUGAAACAAAACUUCCCGUACGUUCACCGAAGUUAAACAAUAUGGCGCCUGUUCAGUACCUAGGUGUGUGACCGCUUGGAAAUACCAGGUGGUGUAAG
Molecule: non-coding RNA, 108 nt
Organism: Acanthosepion pharaonis
Lineage: Eukaryota; Metazoa; Mollusca; Cephalopoda; Sepiida; Sepiidae
Source: the annotation of a GenBank genome assembly